Long non-coding RNA from Misgurnus anguillicaudatus (oriental weatherfish), 780 nucleotides. RefSeq lists it as uncharacterized. The record is from RefSeq and is a predicted model, not a curated record. Lineage: Eukaryota; Metazoa; Chordata; Actinopteri; Cypriniformes; Cobitidae.
GCUGAUCUGCUUACCUCACACUAUGGUCUGACACGCGGUGUGACUCAGGCGCGCGCGUCUAGCGUUGUAUUUGAGCGGCGUGGGCACGACACGCCUCUUCAGAAAGACGCGAGAAGCUCGAGAGGACGGCGUUAUGAAGAGCAAGACACUUAACCUCAGGAAGACACGAAGUGACCAGCUGUUUCUAAAGGAAAUUCACUCAAGCCAAACUCAUCCAGACCCUGCUUUCUGGAAAAGGGCACAGUUAGCCAUUCCAAAAAAAUCUCCAACUUGAGGAACAUCAUCCUUUACUGCAAACAAAUUUCCUUAAACAUCUGUGUGGGUGCUGGAACAUUACAUGUGACCUCUGAUAAACCAGGUACUAAAAUUAGAAACAAAUGAGCGAGCCAUAAACAGUGUUAUUUGAUAAUUUGUCAAAAUUGAUGUAAACAUAUAGCACAUACAACAUACUUCAAGUUCAUGACCUUAAAUUUCCCUUCAGUUAUAAAGUUUUAGCACUACUCAAUCCAGUUGUCCAUUUUAUUACUGUAGAUAAGCUUCAGUUAACCACUUUAAAGAUGAUAUAGAACAUAAUAGCGCUGUUGUCAGAUGUGUACCUUAUCUUUAACAAGUGCAUAAUAAAUAUUUCAGACAAAAAAACAAUUUAUGCCGACAUUUAUGCAGGAUUUAGGUGGAUUGCUAGUUUCAAAUGUAUAUAGUUUUUUAGACAAUGGAGGUAGAUAAACAUUGGGCUGUUUGGUCUAUGAGUAACCUUUUUAUUAGAGUAAUCAUUACUUAAAG